Molecule: ribosomal RNA, 743 nt
Filed under: Amanita aff. caesaroides RET-356-10
Lineage: Eukaryota; Fungi; Basidiomycota; Agaricomycetes; Agaricales; Amanitaceae
Description: eukaryotic LSU rRNA
Rfam family: Eukaryotic large subunit ribosomal RNA
Source: RNAcentral
UUGUAAUCUAGAGAAGUGUUGCUCACACUGGACCAUGUAUAAGUCUUCUGGAAUGAAGCGUCAUAGAGGGUGAGAAUCCCGUCUUUGACAUGGACUCCCAGUGUAUUUGUAGCAUGCUCUCAAAGAGUCGAGUUGUUUGGGAAUGCAGCUCUAAAUGGGUGGUAACCUCCAUCUAAAGCUAAAUAUUGGCGAGAACCGAUAGUGAACAAGUACCGUGAGGGAAAGAUGAAAAGAACUUUGGAAAGAGAGUUAAAAAGUACGUGAAAUUGUUGAAAGGGAAACGCUUGAAGUCAGUCACAUUGGCCAGGGAUCAACCCAAGCUUUUGCUUGAGUGUACUUCCUGGCUAAUGGGCCAACAUCAGCUUUGACUGUCAGAGAAGGGUAGGGGGAAUGUGGCACCCUCUUGGGUGUGUUAUAGCCCUCUGUCAUAUAUGGCCGUUGGGGCUGAGGAAUGCAGCGCGCCACAAAGGCCGGGUUUCGACCACGUUUCGCGCUUAGGAUGUUGGCAUAAUGGCUUUAAUCGACCCGUCUUGAAACACGGACCAAGGAGUCUAACAUGCCUGCGAGUGUUUGGGUGGAAAACCCGAGUGCAUAAUGAAAGUGAAAGUUGAGAUCCCUGUCAUGGGGUGCAUCGACGCCCGGACCUGAGCUUUCUAGCAAUGGCUCUGCGGUAUAGCAUGUAUGUUGGGACCCGAAAGAUGGUGAACUAUGCCUGAAUAGGGCGAAGCCAGAGGAAACUCUGG